AUUGAACGCUGGCGGCAGGCCUAACACAUGCAAGUCGAACGAGUGGCGGACGGGUGAGUAAUGUCUGGGAAACUGCCUGAUGGAGGGGGAUAACUACUGGAAACGGUAGCUAAUACCGCAUACCAUCAGAUGUGCGCAGAUGGGAUUAGCUUGUGGGUGGGGUAACGGCUCACCAAGGCGACGAUCCCUAGCUGGUCUGAGAGGAGGACCAGCAACACUGGAACGGGGACACGGUCCAGACGCCUACGGGAGGCGGCAGUGGGGAAUAUUGCACAAUGGGGGAAAGCCUGAUGCGGCCAUGCGGCGUGUAUGAAGAAGGCCUUCGGGUGGUAAAGUACUUUCAGAGGGGAGGCGUUACCCGCAGAAGAAGCACCGGCUAACUCCGUGCCAGCAGCCGCGGUAAUAC
Molecule: ribosomal RNA, 406 nt
Filed under: uncultured bacterium
Lineage: Bacteria
Description: partial 16S ribosomal RNA
Rfam family: Bacterial small subunit ribosomal RNA
Source: RNAcentral